UGGGGAAUAUUGGGCAAUGGGCGAAAGCCUGACCCAGCUAUGCCGCGUGAGUGAUGAAGGCCUUCGGGUCGUAAAGCUCUGUGGAGAGGGAAGAACAAGCAUAUGGCUAAUAUCCAUGUGCCCUGACGGUACCUCUUUAGCAAGCACCGGCUAACUCCGUGCCAGCAGCCGCGGUAAUACGGAGGGUGCAAACGUUGCUCGGAAUCAUUGGGCGUAAAGCGCACGUAGGUGGUUCGUUAAGUCGGAUGUGAAAGCCCCGGGCUCAACUCGGGAAGUGCAUUCGAAACUGGCGAGCUUGAGUAUGGAAGAGGGUCGCGGAAUUCCCGGUGUAGAGGUGAAAUUCGUAGAUAUCGGGAGGAACACCAGUGGCGAAGGCGGCGACCUGGGCCAAUACUGACACUGAGGUGCGAAAGCGUGGGGAGCAAACAG
Molecule: ribosomal RNA, 429 nt
Filed under: uncultured bacterium
Lineage: Bacteria
Description: bacterial SSU rRNA
Rfam family: Bacterial small subunit ribosomal RNA
Source: RNAcentral